This 454-nucleotide ribosomal RNA is filed under the name uncultured bacterium. RNAcentral describes it as "SSU rRNA". It matches the Rfam family "Bacterial small subunit ribosomal RNA", at positions 26 to 518 of the family's 1533-position model. The record is from RNAcentral.
AGAACGAACGCUGGCGGCAUGCCUAACACAUGCAAGUCGAACGUGAUCCAGGCUUCGGCCUGGUGAAAGUGGCAGACGGGUGAGUAACGCGUGGGAACCUGCCCUGUGGUAGGGAAUAACCGUGGGAAACUGCGGCUAAUACCCUAUGAGUCCUUCGGGAGAAAGAUUUAUCGCCAUAGGAGGGGCCCGCGUCGGAUUAGGUAGUUGGUGGGGUAACGGCCUACCAAGCCUUCGAUCCGUAGCUGGUCUGAGAGGAUGAUCAGCCACACUGGGACUGAGAUACGGCCCAGACUCCUACGGGAGGCAGCAGUGGGGAAUAUUGGACAAUGGGGGCAACCCUGAUCCAGCAAUGCCGCGUGGAUGAUGAAGGCCUUCGGGUUGUAAAGUCCUUUCGGCGGGGAAGAUGAUGACGGUACCCGCAGAAGAGCCCGGCUAACUUCGCGCCAGCAGCCGC